GCUCUAAAAGGAAGGGUGGGCUGGGAUUACCCAAGUUCUAUGUUGAAUAAGGCGCUGGCUCUUCCUCUUCAGCAGGCAUCAGGUUCAGCUGGCAGUGGGUAUGUGAAAACAGACGACUGGCUCCCACCUCCAGAGUUUCUAAAUCGAUCCAAAUAAGAUCAAUAACUUCUAACGAAUGGGAAUGUUGCCUGGCAGCCUAAAAGAGAUUGCUAUAACUUAGUAUUAGACAGAAAUCCUACGCCUUCCUGACACAUUGCUUAAUUGAGGAUAGAAGAAAACAACAGCAUUCACUUGUUGAGUUCACAUAAAAGAUUCAAGUCACCAGGUCCAGCCCACACUCCAGAGAAGGAGAUUGCACAAGGACAGAUGGAGAUCUUCAGAGAGCAUCUGACAAGCCACCCUACUAUGCUGCAAUUAAGUGCAAGAAUCAGGAUUUGAAUCCAAGUAUUUGGACAGCAGAGCCCAUUCUCCUAGGUGUGCCAAUGGUUCAAAGCCGCCUCUGCCCUCUCGGUGCUGGAGCACAUUGCAGUCAGCUGACUAUAGGACUCUUUAUUUCUAACCUUCUACUUCUGCAAACCCACAUCUAAUAAACAGAAUCUUCUGUAGAAGAUUUAGAAUAUUGAUCAGGUUAUAGUCAAAUUUCCACUUGAUCAUCACUUUAAGCUGAUUUUACUUGUAUCUGUCACAAGGCAUGAUGCAUACAUUUUUAUCUUUUAACUCCUAAAUGAAGAUCUUUUUCCUGGAUUAUUUAGUCUCCUCAAAUCAAUUAUUUGGAACACAAAUCAUUUCUAAAGUAAAACAUAUUUCCUAUGUUAAACACUAAUUUUUAAUACCAAGAAAAUAAUUCUAGAUUAAAUAUAGUGAUCAAUCUAAAUUAAUCUUUUACUAAUACAAGGCAGUUUUAUAUUUCCAUAUAUAUUAUAAAGUUAAACAUAAUCCUUAAUUACUAUUACUUUCCAAACUGUAAUGGCACAUGAGUAUCUGCACAGAUAUGCAAGUUGAACUGUAUGUAUCAUUAAAGACAAGAGGAAAUUAUUAAGUCUUAUAACAGUAAUCUUUUAAGUUCUCCUUUCCUCUUAUUUAUUUUUCUUAAUGCACAAUGUGAAUAUUCAUUAAAUAAUCAGAGCCCAUAUCCAAAGGUAUCAGAAUUUUGCCAGUGGAUAUGCAUUAAAUAUUUCCCACUGAAUUAUAUUAUAAUAUUUUAAACAGUUUUUCUAUUUUCAAAUCAUUUUCAGUUCAUGGAGAUUUCAAAUAUCUCAGGUUUAGGCUCUUCCGCCCCCCAGGCUCAGACUCUCAUUGAAGUGAAUCCUGAUUUAUACAUAAACAGCUAGACUAGUGGAGCGUCUAUUUAUAAAACUUUACAGUGGUUCAACUAUAAGACAAAGCAUUCCCACUUAACCUAUUUGUCUAUAAAUGCAAAUUUCUGUCUUUCAAGUCUGAAAGCAGAAUAAACCUAUUGUUAAGAACAGACUCUGAAACACGAAAAUGCUAUAUUUCUCCAGUAAAUUUUAACAGGUCAAUCCAAAUUGUUAUUGCUUGCUUUUAAAAGGAAAUCAUCAAAGAGCUCCACAUUUCUGAAUAAUCUCUUUAGAUUUGUGGUAUUUCAUGUCAACAUUCAGACUAUUUGUACAGCUCCCCUUUAAUUUUAUUCUAUCCCU
Molecule: long non-coding RNA, 1658 nt
Organism: Equus caballus (horse)
Lineage: Eukaryota; Metazoa; Chordata; Mammalia; Perissodactyla; Equidae
Source: Ensembl